RNAcentral lists this ribosomal RNA (544 nucleotides) under uncultured bacterium. RNAcentral describes it as "bacterial SSU rRNA". It matches the Rfam family "Bacterial small subunit ribosomal RNA", at positions 358 to 916 of the family's 1533-position model. The record is from RNAcentral.
GGAACCUUGCGCAAUGGGCGAAAGCCUGACGCAGCAACGCCGCGUGCGGGAUGAAGGCCUUCGGGCUGUAAACCGCUUUCAGCAGGAACGAAAAUGACGGUACCUGCAGAAGAAGGAGCGGCCAACUACGUGCCAGCAGCCGCGGUGACACGUAGGCUCCAAGCGUUGUCCGGAUUUAUUGGGCGUAAAGAGCUCGUAGGCGGUUGAGUAAGUCGGGUGUGAAAACUCUGGGCUUAACCCGGAGACGCCAUCCGAUACUGCUCUGACUUGAGUUCAGGAGGGGAGUGGGGAAUUCCUAGUGUAGCGGUGAAAUGCGCAGAUAUUAGGAGGAACACCGGUGGCGAAGGCGCCACUCUGGACUGAAACUGACGCUGAGGAGCGAAAGCAUGGGUAGCAAACAGGAUUAGAUACCCUGGUAGUCCAUGCCGUAAACGGUGGGCACUAGGUGUGGGUUCCAACUAACGGGAUCCGCGCCGUCGCUAACGCAUAAAGUGCCCCGCCUGGGGAGUACGGUCGCAAGACUAAAACUCAAAGGAAUUGACGG